GCUGCUUAACCUAACUGGGCUAACGAUUUGAAAUCGUUAAUAUUGUCUUUGGUGACAAAUGUAGUU
RNAcentral lists this transfer RNA (66 nucleotides) under Didymobothrium rudolphii. RNAcentral's name for it is "tRNA-Ser". Lineage: Eukaryota; Metazoa; Platyhelminthes; Cestoda; Spathebothriidea; Acrobothriidae. The record is from RNAcentral.